Molecule: ribosomal RNA, 253 nt
Filed under: uncultured microorganism
Description: partial 16S ribosomal RNA
Rfam family: Bacterial small subunit ribosomal RNA
Source: RNAcentral
UACGUAGGGUGCGAGCGUUAAUCGGAUUUACUGGGCGUAAAGAGCUCGUAGGCGGUUUGUCGCGUCUGCCGUGAAAGUCCGGGGCUCAACUCCGGAUCUGCGGUGGGUACGGGCAGACUAGAGUGAUGUAGGGGAGACUGGAAUUCCUGGUGUAGCGGUGAAAUGCGCAGAUAUCAGGAGGAACACCGAUGGCGAAGGCAGGUCUCUGGGCAUUAACUGACGCUGAGGAGCGAAAGCAUGGGGAGCGAACAGG